The sequence is a small nucleolar RNA, 77 nucleotides long. Its record names the gene SNORD83. It matches the Rfam family "Small nucleolar RNA SNORD83". Rfam says of the family: U83 (SNORD83) and U84 (SNORD84) are members of the C/D class of snoRNA which contain the C (UGAUGA) and D (CUGA) box motifs. The record is from Ensembl.
GCCAAAUGAUGUUUUUUUGAUUCAGGAGCACUUUAGUGCUGGGACGACUCUUCAUCUAUCACCCAUGACUGAUGGCU